Molecule: ribosomal RNA, 253 nt
Filed under: uncultured bacterium
Lineage: Bacteria
Description: partial 16S ribosomal RNA
Rfam family: Bacterial small subunit ribosomal RNA
Source: RNAcentral
UACGUAGGGUGCAAGCGUUGUUCGGAAUCACUGGGCGUAAAGGGCGUGUAGGUGGCUUUGUAAGUUUGGUGUGAAAGCCCUCAACUCAAUUGAGGAAGUGCAUUGAAUGCUGCAGAGCUUGAGCAAAGGAGAGGAAAACGGAAUUCCUGGUGUAGAGGUGAAAUUCGUAGAUAUCAGGAGGAACAACGGUGGCGAAGGCGGUUUUCUGGACUUUAGCUGACACUGAGGCGCGACAGCGUGGGGAGCAAACAGG